This 500-nucleotide ribosomal RNA is filed under the name uncultured bacterium. RNAcentral's name for it is "partial 16S ribosomal RNA". It matches the Rfam family "Bacterial small subunit ribosomal RNA", at positions 30 to 523 of the family's 1533-position model. The record is from RNAcentral.
AUUGAACGCUGGCGGCAUGCCUUACACAUGCAAGUCGAACGGCAGCACGGGAGCAAUCCUGGUGGCGAGUGGCGAACGGGUGAGUAAUAUAUCGGAACGUGCCCAGUCGUGGGGGAUAACGCAGCGAAAGCUGUGCUAAUACCGCAUACGAUCUAUGGAUGAAAGCGGGGGAUCGCAAGACCUCGCGCGAUUGGAGCGGCCGAUAUCAGAUUAGCUAGUUGGUGAGGUAAAGGCUCACCAAGGCGACGAUCUGUAGCUGGUCUGAGAGGACGACCAGCCACACUGGAACUGAGACACGGUCCAGACUCCUACGGGAGGCAGCAGUGGGGAAUUUUGGACAAUGGGCGAAAGCCUGAUCCAGCAAUGCCGCGUGCAGGAUGAAGGCCUUCGGGUUGUAAACUGCUUUUGUACGGAACGAAACGGUGAGCUCUAAUACAGUUUGCUAAUGACGGUACCGUAAGAAUAAGCACCGGCUAACUACGUGCCAGCAGCAGCCGCCG